This 163-nucleotide ribosomal RNA is filed under the name uncultured Dacrymyces. Its description in RNAcentral is "partial 18S ribosomal RNA". It matches the Rfam family "Eukaryotic small subunit ribosomal RNA", at positions 374 to 545 of the family's 1831-position model. The record is from RNAcentral. Lineage: Eukaryota; Fungi; Basidiomycota; Dacrymycetes; Dacrymycetales; Dacrymycetaceae.
GGUUCGGAUUCCGAGAGGGAGCCUGAGAAACGGCUACACCUCCAAGGAAGGCAGCAGGCGCGCAAAUUACCCAAUCCCGACUCGGGAGGAGUACAAUAAAUAACAUACACGGCUCUUGGGUCUUGUAAUUGGAAUGAGUACAAUCUAAUCCCUAAUGAGAUGC